RNAcentral lists this ribosomal RNA (495 nucleotides) under uncultured bacterium. RNAcentral describes it as "partial 16S ribosomal RNA". It matches the Rfam family "Bacterial small subunit ribosomal RNA", at positions 28 to 507 of the family's 1533-position model. The record is from RNAcentral.
GAUGAACGCUGGCGGCGUGCUUAACACAUGCAAGUCGAACGAAGCACCUCUCCCGAAGAUUGACACAGCUUGCUGUAGAUUGAUUCAUUUGAGGUGACUGAGUGGCGGACGGGUGAGUAACGCGUGGGUAACCUGCCUCAUAGAGGGGGACAACAGUUGGAAACGGCUGCUAAUACCGCAUAGUAAGAAGAAUUCGCAUGUUUUCUUCUUGAAAGAUUUAUCGCUAUGAGAUGGACCCGCGUCUGAUUAGCUAGUUGGUAAGGUAACGGCUUACCAAGGCGACGAUCAGUAGCCGGCUUGAGAGAGUGAGCGGCCACAUUGGGACUGAGACACGGCCCAAACUCCUACGGGAGGCAGCAGUGGGGAAUAUUGCACAAUGGGGGAAACCCUGAUGCAGCGACGCCGCGUGAGUGAAGAAGUAUUUCGGUAUGUAAAGCUCUAUCAGCAGGGAAGAUAAUGACGGUACCUGACUAAGAAGCCCCGGCUAACUACGUG